AGAUUACUACAGGCUGAUUGCCCACAGAGAACAGUUAGUUGCCUUUCGCUUCCACAGGGCAUUGCCAGAACUUUGUAUAGGGUGUAUGAGAUAGACAACUCAGUCUCUUUUCUCAACUCCUCUCCAAGCCAACCUUUCUACUGGCCUUCCAUGUUUUCCAUUUAGCUACCAACCAAGGGAAGAUGAGCUGCUUCACUGGAUUGGUGAAAGCCCCACAAUGGGCCACAAUUACUAGGGGGAUACAUAAACUCAGAUCUGCUUUCUUCUUCCAUAUCCAUGGAGCUCACUGGUUGUAUGUCCAGUGAUGUAUGGGCUCCCAAGUUCACAUGCUCAUUUCUGAGUUGUUCCCCUUCGUCUGGCUCCAUCUUCUUGAUCUUUACUGUCUGGGCAUUUGCAAUGAUAUAA
Long non-coding RNA from Zalophus californianus (California sea lion), 405 nucleotides. RefSeq lists it as uncharacterized. Lineage: Eukaryota; Metazoa; Chordata; Mammalia; Carnivora; Otariidae. The record is from RefSeq and is a predicted model, not a curated record. The transcript is spliced from 3 exons.